GACGAACGCUGGCGGCGUGCUUAACACAUGCGAGUCGAACGGAAAGGCCCUGCUUUUGUGGGGUGCUCGAGUGGCGAACGGGUGAGUAACACGUGAGUAACCUGCCCUUGACUUUGGGAUAACUUCAGGAAACUGGGGCUAAUACCGGAUAGGAGCUCCUGCUGCAUGGUGGGGGUUGGAAAGUUUCGGCGGUUGGGGAUGGACUCGCGGCUUAUCAGCUUGUUGGUGGGGUAGUGGCUUACCAAGGCCUUGACGGGUAGCCGGCCUGAGAGGGUGACCGGCCACAUUGGGACUGAGAUACGGCCCAGACUCCUACGGGAGGCAGCAGUGGGGAAUAUUGCACAAUGGGCGGAAGCCUGAUGCAGCAACGCCGCGUGCGGGAUGACGGCCUUCGGGUUGUAAACCGCUUUCGCCUGUGACGAAGCGUGAGUGACGGUAAUGGGUAAAGAAGCACCGGCUAACUACGUG
RNAcentral lists this ribosomal RNA (468 nucleotides) under uncultured bacterium. RNAcentral's name for it is "partial 16S ribosomal RNA". It matches the Rfam family "Bacterial small subunit ribosomal RNA", at positions 28 to 507 of the family's 1533-position model. The record is from RNAcentral.